GACGAACGCUGGCGGCGUGCCUAAUACAUGCAAGUUGAGCGCUGAAGGUUGGUACUUGUCCCGACUGGAUGAGCAGCGAACGGGUGAGUAACGCGUGGGGAAUCUGCCUUUGAGCGGGGGACAACAUUUGGAAACGAAUGCUAAUACCGCAUAAAAACUUUAAACACAAGUUUUAAGUUUGAAAGAUGCAAUUGCAUCACUCAAAGAUGAUCCCGCGUUGUAUUAGCUAGUUGGUGAGGUAAAGGCUCACCAAGGCGAUGAUACAUAGCCGACCUGAGAGGGUGAUCGGCCACAUUGGGACUGAGACACGGCCCAAACUCCUACGGGAGGCAGCAGUAGGGAAUCUUCGGCAAUGGACGAAAGUCUGACCGAGCAACGACGCGUGAGUGAAGAAGGUUUUCGGAUCGUAAAACUCUGUUGGUAGAGAAGAACGUUGGUGAGAGUGGAAAGCUCAUAAAGUGACGGUAACUACCCAGAAAGGGACGGCUAACUACGUG
RNAcentral lists this ribosomal RNA (497 nucleotides) under uncultured bacterium. Its description in RNAcentral is "partial 16S ribosomal RNA". It matches the Rfam family "Bacterial small subunit ribosomal RNA", at positions 28 to 507 of the family's 1533-position model. The record is from RNAcentral.